This is a long non-coding RNA of Megalopta genalis, 1637 nucleotides long. RefSeq lists it as uncharacterized. The record is from RefSeq and is a predicted model, not a curated record. Lineage: Eukaryota; Metazoa; Arthropoda; Insecta; Hymenoptera; Halictidae.
GAUUGAAAUUUUUUGAAGAUUUGAAACAGCACGUGUCUACUCUCGGAAAAAUAGUAAUCGAGGGUCUCUUGGAAUGUGGAAGAGAAGCUCCUCCCCCUUUUUCGAAGACGGUUAAGCAGAAAUCUUAAAAGCUGGACUAAAAGAUGGAGGAAGAAUAUCUCAUGGGGAAAAUGCUUCGUAACCCAAAUUAUCUUUUAGAUUAUUCAAGUACACUGUGACACAAACGAUAAACGAUAGUGUUUCCCCCCCCUAAACCAAGAUACGGUAAAAUGAGCAGAAGCAAUGAACAUAAAAAUCAAAGUUUCCGAACUGGAAAUCGUCCAUUGCUGUAACUUUUGUCAAGCAGUAAAAGAAGCAGGUGCACGUGGAAGGGGGAGAGAGAGAGAGAGAGAGAAAAUUUCCAAGAAGGGAAAGUCGCGCGUCCAAUUACAACACGAACACAUAUAAAACAAGUGAAUUGUCUCCUCGAAAUACAGGAUUGCUUCGUAUCAUGAGAGAAAAAUAGAUUCGAAAAAUAAUUGUCCAAAGCAUAUACCAACUCGCGACAAUUGCCUGCAUUUAACAAAAUCAAAACGUUUAUUAAGAUAACCAAUAAUACUGAGAACGUUGCGUAAUAAGUUUGAGUGAAAUCGAUUUAAAAUUCGAACAAUAUUUCGUAAGAUGCUAUAUCGAAUAAAAAUCUUUCGUUAUGCUUGUUUAAAGAUUUUGCCUGUACCCAGUUUUCAUGUACCAAAAAUGCUAUAAAUAAAUGGGAUGUAGGCCUACUGAUCGAGUCCAUACGGGAUUGUACAACUUCUCUCCAUAAAAGUAGUCCUCUGUUUUAUGUGUUACAAGGUGUUAACAAACGAUAAUUACCGGACAAUAAGCACGCACACUUUCUACGAGAGAAAGAUAUAUGAAAUUAUAUAGACUGAACGUAGGCACACGUCGUACCAAAACGUCGCUUUUCGUGAGAGGCAAUCUAUUAUUUUGACACCUACCGAACCGAAGCAUGCUAGAUAAUCCUAAGAAAACGAUUCGACAACGUGGCGACUAAAAAUAUAAAAUUAAUUAUACUUCAUCGCACAUAAUAUCGUGACACGGACGCUAUAAAAAGCGUGCAGGGGAAUUCGGUGUCUCGAGUAACGUGAACCGUGCCUAAGGAAGAAACAAUCCUUAACAGAGGACAGAAGAUGGGAAAAAAAAGAACUUCGGAUGACUUACGUUCACGAUGCUGUAGCCAGGAUUCUCCGACAGAAGAAAUCCCACGAGAUCAACGCACUUCACACCACGCCACUAUUCGUCACCAUUAUAACAAGAGAGGAGCCGAAUUGUUAUCAUUUCACUGGCGUCAUUCUAAUUAACAGGUCCCAUAAGAUACAAGCCGUCAAGAUACCGUCGUUACUCCGCGCCGUUUGCCGCGCAUCUACCAAAUACAUACCUGUUGCAGUACCAUAGUUCUCCCACCAAUGGCGGCGGCUACGCGCUGAUUGACCUAACGUUGGCCAAUUAAACGCCGACUUUUCGAGCGCCGGCAAAUCACGAAGCUGAUAGUUUUCGCGCCGUCGAUCAAACUGGGCCAGUCGAAGAUAAGAAAGUAGACAGAUAAGAGAAAUAUACAGACUGUUUCAUAAAUAAUAAAAGCUUUUCUAAUUAUA